UAAAUAUUUAUAAUUAAACAGAGUUCAUAAGACUCUAGGAACAAGCAUCCAGGGUUUCACCUCCAAAAAGGAUGAUAUGUAGUAUCUAUAUGACUAUAGAAAAAAAUAGUCGGUUUAAGUGUGUAGAAGAACAAGAAAAUGGGAAGCAUUGCAUUAGGGAACAAGUGAGGCAGAAUAUGAUUUUUCAGAAAAAGAAGUAGACUUACGAUUUAAACAGUCACAAAUCAUCAUUAGCUCAGAAGAGGUUAAGAUUACAAAUUAAACAUCCUGUUGCAGUGUGAGCAGAAGGAUUAAUUUUCUUUUCUAGAAGCUGAUAUCAGGGAAUCUGGGGCUUCAGGCAGAACAACAGUAUUUGAAGAUAUUUAGUGGGAUAGAUUAAGAAUGCUAUUAGCUAAGUUAAUUUGGUUCUCUCUGCUUUACUUCUUUUGGCCAGGACUCUUCGCAGAAGGUGGUCAGAGAGGAGUCCAGGCUGUGUGGAUCCCACUGGAGUUGUGCUUGCCAACAGUGGGAGCGAGGAGGUUUACUGUUCAAAGAAAUGUCCAUCAACUUCCUUCUUUGCUCCAUUAUUGAAAAUUUCCCAAGUUAAAAGUUGCAGCUGGCUUCCCUCCGACCUGCUCUGAGAAGAGCUCAGCAAGCUCGUCUGCCUACAGUUCACCCGGCAGAGGCUUUCCCAUCCCUCCCCAUGGCGUGGAGCAUCGGGAAGGCAGCAUCCCCGCACACCACCCACCUCCCUCCUGCCCUCAUCAAGGUAGCGGCAACCCCAGCAGCCGCAGGCACUAAAUACGCAGUAAGGCAAUUUCUUCCUCGGUGCCUUCCGCAGGUUAUCACCAGGCUGGCAUUCUGCUGGCAUGUGUCUCGUUAGCUGAAAAGGUUGCCCACUGAGAUUAAUGAAAAGUUAUGAUAAUGCUGCUGCACCCCUCGGUUCCCCCAUGCAGCAAGAAUGGGAAUCAAAUGGAGACUUGCUCCUCCUGGGUGCAACUUUAUUGACUUCACCCAGGUUGUAACCACUGAUACUGAUGCUCAUUGUCAGUUUGCCCCCCUUUUCUUUUAAACAGCUGGUUUAAAGGGAGGAGACAGUGAACGUGAAUCAUUUUUAUUAGUGUUCAUGAUUCCUUGUGAGCUGUCAGACAGUACUGGCAAUCAGCUGUUUUUUCAUGGGGUGGCAUUUUACAGUGUGUUACCAUGGGCACAAGAUAACAGGGAGAGGGGACAGCCUUAGAGUGAAUGCAGCCACAGCAAUAACCCCAUCUCUUGCACAUUUUCUGCAGUUGCAUUAUAAAGCCUUUAAGAAUUAUGGAAAUAGUCAGCUCAGCACCAAAUAAAAAGCCUACUGUAAAUGUUUCACCCCAGGGAGCGAGGGACAGUUCUGCGUGCGUCUGCUGCAAACACAGCGAGCUGCUGAGGCUCCUGCGGUUCUGCUCCAGGUUGCUUCAGAGCUACAAGAAGGCUACCAGCAGCACAGCGUGGUUUCCAGCCCUGCAAACACUUGUGCAGCAGCACAGCACAGGUAUGACACCUGAUAGGAGUGAAUGUAGUCAAUAAUGUGCUUUGAGUUUGUGCUUUUACAUAAUUAACUCCUUUAAUUACAUAAAUACAAAACCUGCUUUUGCUGUGACAUUGUGAAUUUUGGUUGUGUUUUCUACCAGGUGAAAGGGAGUAAGAUAGCACAGGGCAGAGAAAUCCAAGGUUCAGGAAAAAUGAACAAAAGUGUGAGAAGACAACUGGGCUAUAGUAUCAACAGCUGACAAGUGAGGGGUUGUAAGCAGAGUGGUGUGGUUUAUAACAGAAACAAAGAUGCCAGCUAACAACUGACAUCACAGACUGAGCUGUCACUGCACCGCAAGUCAACUCAUCUGUUUGUUUAAUAAAGCUAAAGGUAGAUUUAAAUAAUGAAGGAUGGUAAGGGUUCCUGAAUACCACCAUCAUGUGAUGGGUCUGCAUCGAAGCUCUUGCCUCCAAUGUGUUGCUCCUCAAAAGGCCAGGCUAUGCCAGCCCUUUGUGCUUCUUCCUGUGGCACUGCCAAAGCCUGAGUUCCUCCUGCUGAUGCCUCCUCAAUCAAAGACCGAUCUCAUUGACUUCAGAUGAGUUAUGACAGCGAUAUUGUAUAUUUUGAAAAAGGCCACAAGAUUUGUAUCUUAAAAAUUUAUCUUAGUUUUGCAGUUGCUUUAUUAGUGGUUGUCUCAUGUAGAGCAUCAUUAAAUCAUGCUGGCA
This is a long non-coding RNA of Falco peregrinus (peregrine falcon), 2211 nucleotides long. RefSeq lists it as uncharacterized. NCBI's taxonomy places the organism in Eukaryota, Metazoa, Chordata, Aves, Falconiformes, Falconidae. The transcript has 3 exons. The record is from RefSeq and is a predicted model, not a curated record.